RNAcentral lists this ribosomal RNA (253 nucleotides) under uncultured bacterium. RNAcentral describes it as "partial 16S ribosomal RNA". It matches the Rfam family "Bacterial small subunit ribosomal RNA", at positions 524 to 776 of the family's 1533-position model. The record is from RNAcentral.
UACGAAGGGGGCUAGCGUUGCUCGGAAUCACUGGGCGUAAAGGGUGCGUAGGCGGGUUUUUAAGUCAGGGGUGAAAUCCUGGAGCUCAACUCCAGAACUGCCUUUGAUACUGAAAAUCUUGAGUCCGGGAGAGGUGAGUGGAACUGCGAGUGUAGAGGUGAAAUUCGUAGAUAUUCGCAAGAACACCAGUGGCGAAGGCGGCUCACUGGCCCGGUACUGACGCUGAUACGCGAAAGCCAGGGGAGCAAACGGG